This 207-nucleotide ribosomal RNA is filed under the name uncultured Leptotrichia sp. RNAcentral describes it as "partial 16S ribosomal RNA". It matches the Rfam family "Bacterial small subunit ribosomal RNA", at positions 148 to 355 of the family's 1533-position model. Lineage: Bacteria; Fusobacteriati; Fusobacteriota; Fusobacteriia; Fusobacteriales; Leptotrichiaceae. The record is from RNAcentral.
AGGGAAACGUUACUGAUAAUACUGGAUAAGUUAGUAUAUCGCAUGAUAUGCAAAUGAAAGCUACGGCACUAAAGGAGAGCUUUGCGUCCUAUUAGCUAGUUGGUAAGGUAAGAGCUUACCAAGGCGAUGAUAGGUAGCCGGCCUGAGAGGGUGGACGGCCACAAGGGGACUGAGAUACGGCCCUUACUCCUACGGGAGGCAGCAGCC